GUGGGGAUGACGUCAAGUCAUCAUGGCCCUUACGACCAGGGCUACACACGUGCUACAAUGGCGCAUACAAAGAGAAGCGACCUCGCGAGAGCAAGCGGACCUCAUAAAGUGCGUCGUAGUCCGGAUUGGAGUCUGCAACUCGACUCCAUGAAGUCGGAAUCGCUAGUAAUCGUGGAUCAGAAUGCCACGGUGAAUACGUUCCCGGGCCUUGUACACACCGCCCGUCACACCAUGGGAGUGGGUUGCAAAAGAAGUAGGUAGCUUAACCUUCGGGAGGGCGCUUACCACUUUGUGAUUCAUGACUGGGGUGAAGUCGUAACAAGGUAACCGUAGGGGAACCUGCGGUUGGA
RNAcentral lists this ribosomal RNA (350 nucleotides) under Escherichia coli. RNAcentral describes it as "bacterial SSU rRNA". It matches the Rfam family "Bacterial small subunit ribosomal RNA", at positions 1173 to 1522 of the family's 1533-position model. Lineage: Bacteria; Pseudomonadati; Pseudomonadota; Gammaproteobacteria; Enterobacterales; Enterobacteriaceae. RNAcentral also lists the same sequence under 5 other names. The record is from RNAcentral.